GAAAUGCGAUAAGUAAUGUGAAUUGCAGAAUUCAGUGAAUCAUCGAGUCUUUGAACGCACAUUGCGCCCCCUGGUAUUCCGGGGGGCAUGCCUGUCCGAGCGUCAUUGCUGCCCUCCAGCCCGGCUGGUGUGUUGGGCCGCCGUCCCCCCCGGGGGACGGGCCCGAAAGGCAGUGGCGGCGCCGCGUCCGGUCCCCGAGCGUAUGGGGCUCUGUCACCCGCUCCGUGGGCACCGGCCGGCUGCCGGCCUCGACCAUCUUCCUUUUUUUCCAAGGUUGACCUCGGAUCAGGUAGGGAUACCCGCUGAACUUAAGC
Molecule: unclassified non-coding RNA, 314 nt
Filed under: plant metagenome
Description: partial contains 5.8S ribosomal RNA, internal transcribed spacer 2, and large subunit ribosomal RNA
Rfam family: 5.8S ribosomal RNA (bases 1-105)
Source: RNAcentral